UUGUUAUUUUCAUUACAUGUUUGAAUUUUUAUCGAUUUAUAAAUAUUCGUUCAUCAUUAAGUUUACUGACUGUCGGAUCAAACGGAUUAUUUUCAUAACAAAAUCACUGAUAUAACUAGGUAUAUAAACCGGGUAUUUUCAUACCUUGGCACUCACAAGCGAACUUAAAUUCUCAGCAAUUGAAUUGUUUUCUCACAUGAUUACCAAUAAUUCCUUACAAAAUGAUAUUUAAGUUGACGUUUUUUAUUUUAUUGUUUAUACUCUUGUCAACCGUCGCAAAUGUCGAAGCUAUUGUCGGCGGCAAAGAAACAUCACUAAAUGAAUAUGUAUUUCCGGUGACCAUAAGAAUACCCGGUUCAUCACAUAUAAGAAAACAUUUGAAAAAAGAUUUUUCAUUCCAAUAAACUUCAUUUAUUUUAUUUUUAUAACAGAUUUAUCUUUGGACAGGUGGUCUCAGACAAAAAAUGGGAAUGCCAUUUUCAUUCACUGUUCAAGGACAACAAUGAUAAUAUCAUCUGUCGACUUAAGUCAAAUCAUUUCACCUAUUUAAAAU
Long non-coding RNA from Microplitis demolitor, 553 nucleotides. RefSeq lists it as uncharacterized. The transcript has 5 exons. The record is from RefSeq and is a predicted model, not a curated record. NCBI's taxonomy places the organism in Eukaryota, Metazoa, Arthropoda, Insecta, Hymenoptera, Braconidae.